AUACGGAGGGAGCAAGCGUUAUUCGGAAUCACUGGGCGUAAAGGACGCGUAGGCGGGUUUGUAAGUCAGGUGUGAAAUCCUACAGCUCAACUGUAGGACUGCACUUGAAACUACAGACCUAGAGUAUGGAAGGGGCAGAUGGAAUUAGUGGUGUAGGGGUAAAAUCCGUAGAUAUCACUAGGAAUACCGAAAGCGAAGGCGAUCUGCUGGGACAUUACUGACGCUGAGGCGUGAAAGCGUGGGGAGCAAACAGGAUUAGAAACCCCAGUAGUCC
This 274-nucleotide ribosomal RNA is filed under the name uncultured bacterium. RNAcentral's name for it is "partial 16S ribosomal RNA". It matches the Rfam family "Bacterial small subunit ribosomal RNA", at positions 523 to 796 of the family's 1533-position model. The record is from RNAcentral.